Molecule: non-coding RNA, 42 nt
Filed under: Plasmodium falciparum 3D7
Lineage: Eukaryota; Apicomplexa; Aconoidasida; Haemosporida; Plasmodiidae
Source: RNAcentral
CGAGAAAUAAAAUGGGAGAGGGGGGUGUUAUCACCACUGGGU